GAUGAACGCUGGCGGCGUGCCUAAUACAUGCAAGUCGAGCGAACAGACGAGGAGCUUGCUCCUCUGACGUUAGCGGCGGACGUGUGAGUAACACGUGGAUAACCUACCUAUAAGACUGGUAUAACUUCGGGAAACCGGAGCUAAUACCGGAUAAUAUAUUGAACCGCAUGGUUCAUUAGUGAAAGACGGUUUUGCUGUCACUUAUAGAUGGAUCCGCGCCGCAUGAGCUAGUUGUUAAGGUAACGGCUUACCAAGGCAACGAUGCGUAGCCGACCUGAGAGGGUGAUAGGCCACACUGGAACGGGGACACGGUCAAGACUCCUACGGGAGGCAGCAGUAGGGAAUCUUCCGCAAUGGGCGAAAGCAUGACGGAGCAACGCCGCGUGAGUGAUGAAGGUCUCCGGAUCGUAAAACUCUGUUACUAGGGAAGAACAAAUGUGUAAGUAACUAUGCACGUAUUGACGGUAACUAAUCAGAAAGCCACGGCUAACUACGUG
RNAcentral lists this ribosomal RNA (497 nucleotides) under uncultured bacterium. Its description in RNAcentral is "partial 16S ribosomal RNA". It matches the Rfam family "Bacterial small subunit ribosomal RNA", at positions 28 to 507 of the family's 1533-position model. The record is from RNAcentral.